GACGAACGCUGGCGGCGUGCCUAAUACAUGUAAGUAGAACGCACAGUUUAUACCGUGGCUUGCUACACCAUAGACUGUGAGUUGCGAACGGGUGAGUAACGCGUAGGUAACCUGCCUGGUAGCGGGGGAUAACUAUUGGAAACGAUAGCUAAUACCGCAUAAUAUUAAUUAUUGCAUGAUAAUUGAUUGAAAGAUGCAACUGCAUCACUACCAGAUGGACCUGCGUUGUAUUAGCUAGUAGGUGAGGUAACGGCUCACCUAGGCGACGAUACAUAGCCGACCUGAGAGGGUGAUCGGCCACACUGGGACUGAGACACGGCCCAGACUCCUACGGGAGGCAGCAGUAGGGAAUCUUCGGCAAUGGACGAAAGUCUGACCGAGCAACGCCGCGUGAGUGAAGAAGGUUUUCGGAUCGUAAAGCUCUGUUGUAAGAGAAGAACGGGUGUGAGAGUGGAAAGUUCACACUGUGACGGUAUCUUACCAGAAAGGGACGGCUAACUACGUG
This 505-nucleotide ribosomal RNA is filed under the name uncultured bacterium. Its description in RNAcentral is "partial 16S ribosomal RNA". It matches the Rfam family "Bacterial small subunit ribosomal RNA", at positions 28 to 507 of the family's 1533-position model. The record is from RNAcentral.